GCCUCAGUAACGGCGAGUGAAGCGGCNGAAGCUCAAAUUUGAAAUCUGGCGUCUGCGACGCCCGAGUUGUACUUUGGAGAGGCAUCUUCCGGAGGGGCCCAGCCUAUGUGCCUUGGAACAGGACGUCACAGAGGGUGAGAAUCCCGUUCUCGGCCGGAUGUCCCCUCCCGUAUGCAGUGUCUUCUACGAGUCGAGUUGUUUGGGAAUGCAGCUCAAAAUGGGUGGUAAAUUUCAUCUAAAGCUAAAUAUUGGCGAGAGACCGAUAGCGCACAAGUAGAGUGAUCGAAAGAUGAAAAGCACUUUGAAAAUAGAGUCAAACAGUACGUGAAAUUGUUGAAAGGGAAGCGCUUGAGACCAGACUCGACCUUUGACGAACAACGGUCCCUUCCGGGCAGUGCACUCGUCAUCGGUCGGGCCAGCAUCGGUUGGGACGGCGGGAUAAAGGUCCGGGGAAUGUGACUCCGUCCAGGAGUGUUAUAGCCCCGGGCGCCAUGCUGCCCGUCCCGACCGUGGACCGCGCUUCGGCUAGGAUGCUGGCGUAAUGGUCUUCAGCGGCCCGUCUUGAAAACACGGA
Molecule: ribosomal RNA, 574 nt
Filed under: Tuber canaliculatum
Lineage: Eukaryota; Fungi; Ascomycota; Pezizomycetes; Pezizales; Tuberaceae
Description: eukaryotic LSU rRNA
Rfam family: Eukaryotic large subunit ribosomal RNA
Source: RNAcentral